RNAcentral lists this ribosomal RNA (720 nucleotides) under Triticum aestivum (bread wheat). RNAcentral's name for it is "partial small subunit ribosomal RNA". Lineage: Eukaryota; Viridiplantae; Streptophyta; Magnoliopsida; Poales; Poaceae. The record is from RNAcentral.
AUGGGGAUCUCCAAGGUGACGGGCAUCGCGGCGACGGCGCUCCUCGUCUCGUCCCUCGCCCUGCGGCAGGCCGGCGUGAGGGCCGCCGCCACGGCCCCCAUCCUCGCCACCAGCUGCGUCGCCUACGUCGUCACCGUCGCGUCCCACACCGCCGUCAACGUGCCGUGGAUCCUGGGCAAGACCCCGUCUGGCCGGUUCCCCCUCUGGUCGGCCGUGCUCUUCGGCCCCUUCCUGAUGCUGGCACGCACGUACGCCAAGGUGAAGAGGUUCCUCAGGAAGGAGAACGUGUACGACGAGAUCGCCCAGGGGCUCUACCUCGGGGGCUGGCCGUUCAUGGCAAAGCACCUGCCUCCCGGGGAUCCGUCCGUCGUGGAUUGCACGUGUGAGCUGCCGAGGAGCUCGUUUGUGAAGGUGGAUGAGUAUGUCUGUCUUGCUACUUGGGAUACCAGGGCCCCGUUACCGUCCCAGAUCGAAUUCGCGGCGCGGUGGGCCUGCGAGAAGAGAGCCCAGGGGAAGCCCGUCUAUGUCCACUGCGCAUUUGGUCAUGGAAGAAGUGCCUGUGUCAUGUGCGCAAUUCUAGUGGCGACCGGCGUCGCUGAAAACUGGAAAGACGCUGAAAACAUCAUCCGAGGAAGGAGGAAGAUCAAAAUGAACGCUCUUCACCGCAAAACUUUGGAAGAUUGGUCCAAAAGUCGAGUUGUCCAGAAAAAGGAUAAUUAG